AACGAACGCUGGCGGCAUGCCUAACACAUGCAAGUCGAACGAAACCUUCGGGUCUAGUGGCGCCCGGGUGCGUAACGCGUGGGAACCUGCCCUUAGGUUCGGAAUACCUCCCCGAAAGGGGUGCUAAUACCGGAUAAUGUCUUCGGACCAAAGAUUUAUUGCCUUUGGAUGGGCCCGCGUUGGAUUAGCUAGUUGGUAGGGUAAAAGCCUACCAAGGCGACGAUCCAUAGCUGGUCUGAGAGGAUGAUCAGCCACACUGGGACUGAGACACGGCCCAGACUCCUACGGGAGGCAGCAGUGGGGAAUAUUGGACAAUGGGCGAAAGCCUGAUCCAGCAAUGCCGCGUGAGUGAUGAAGGCCUUAGGGUUGUAAAGCUCUUUUACCCGGGAUGAUAAUGACAGUACCGGGAGAAUAAGCUCCGGCUAACUCCGUG
RNAcentral lists this ribosomal RNA (433 nucleotides) under uncultured bacterium. RNAcentral's name for it is "partial 16S ribosomal RNA". It matches the Rfam family "Bacterial small subunit ribosomal RNA", at positions 29 to 507 of the family's 1533-position model. The record is from RNAcentral.